AUUGAACGCUGGCGGCAUGCCUUACACAUGCAAGUCGAACGGCAGCACGGGGGCAACCCUGGUGGCGAGUGGCGAACGGGUGAGUAAUGCAUCGGAACGUGCCCAGUAGUGGGGGAUAACUAGUCGAAAGAUUAGCUAAUACCGCAUACGACCUAUGGGUGAAAGCGGGGAUCGCAAGACCUCGCGCUAUUGGAGCGGCCGAUGUCUGAUUAGCUAGUUGGCGGGGUAAAAGCCCACCAAGGCUUCGAUCAGUAGCUGGUCUGAGAGGACGACCAGCCACACUGGGACUGAGACACGGCCCAGACUCCUACGGGAGGCAGCAGGUGGGGUAAUUUGGACAAUGGGCGCAAGCCUGAUCCAGCCAUGCCGCGUGCGGGAAGAAGGCC
RNAcentral lists this ribosomal RNA (386 nucleotides) under uncultured bacterium. Its description in RNAcentral is "bacterial SSU rRNA". It matches the Rfam family "Bacterial small subunit ribosomal RNA", at positions 29 to 416 of the family's 1533-position model. The record is from RNAcentral.